GUGGGGAAUAUUGGACAAUGGGGGGAACCCUGAUCCAGCCAUGCCGCGUGUGUGAAGAAGGCCUUUUGGUUGUAAAGCACUUUAAGCGAGGAGGAGGCUACCGAGAUUAAUACUCUUGGAUAGUGGACGUUACUCGCAGAAUAAGCACCGGCUAACUCUGUGCCAGCAGCCGCGGUAAUACAGAGGGUGCAAGCGUUAAUCGGAUUUACUGGGCGUAAAGCGCGCGUAGGUGGCCAAUUAAGUCAAAUGUGAAAUCCACGAGCUUAACAUGGGAAUUGCAUUCGAUACUGGUUGGCUAGAGUAUGGGAGAGGAUGGUAGAAUUCCAUGUGUAGCGGUGAAAUGCGUAGAGAUCUGGAGGAAUACCGAUGGCGAAGGCAGUCAUCUGGCCUAAUACUGACACUGAGGUGCGACAGCAUGGGGAGCAAACAGGAUUAGAAACCCCAGUAGUCC
RNAcentral lists this ribosomal RNA (451 nucleotides) under uncultured bacterium. RNAcentral's name for it is "partial 16S ribosomal RNA". It matches the Rfam family "Bacterial small subunit ribosomal RNA", at positions 354 to 796 of the family's 1533-position model. The record is from RNAcentral.